RNAcentral lists this ribosomal RNA (254 nucleotides) under uncultured bacterium. Its description in RNAcentral is "partial 16S ribosomal RNA". It matches the Rfam family "Bacterial small subunit ribosomal RNA", at positions 524 to 777 of the family's 1533-position model. The record is from RNAcentral.
UACGAAGGGGGCUAGCGUUGCUCGGAAUCACUGGGCGUAAAGCGCACGUAGGCGGCUUUUUAGGUCAGGGGUGAAAUCCUGGAGCUCAACUCCAGAACUGCCUUUGAUACUGAGAAGCUUGAGUCCGGGAGAGGUGAGUGGAACUGCGAGUGUAGAGGUGAAAUUCGUAGAUAUUCGCAAGAACACCAGUGGCGAAGGCGGGUCUCUGGACAGUUCCUGACGCUGAGGCACGAAGGUCAGGGGAGCAAACGGGG